RNAcentral lists this ribosomal RNA (239 nucleotides) under uncultured fungus. RNAcentral's name for it is "partial 18S ribosomal RNA". The stretch from base 75 to 239 matches the Rfam family "Eukaryotic small subunit ribosomal RNA", at positions 739 to 905 of the family's 1831-position model. The record is from RNAcentral. Lineage: Eukaryota; Fungi.
UGCCUCACGGUACGUACUGUCCGCCCGAGUCUUACCUCUCGGUGAACCGGCAUGCCCUUUAUUGGGUGUGUCGCGGAACCGGGACUUUUACCUUGAGAAAAUUAGAGUGUUCAAAGCAGGCAUUUGCCCGAAUACAUUAGCAUGGAAUAAUAGAAUAGGACGUGCGGUUCUAUUUUGUUGGUUUCUAGGAUCGCCGUAAUGAUUAAUAGGGACAGUUGGGGGCAUUGGUAUUCAGGCGC